This 767-nucleotide unclassified non-coding RNA is filed under the name Hevea brasiliensis (rubber tree). The record is from RNAcentral. Lineage: Eukaryota; Viridiplantae; Streptophyta; Magnoliopsida; Malpighiales; Euphorbiaceae.
AAUCUAACCACUUAUAUUUAUCCUUUCAUGUUUUAUACUUUUCUGAUGUGGGAUUUAUAAUCCCAACAAUGAUGAUUCUUUUCACUUGGCCAAUAAAAUUAUAAGUGAAGCUCAAGUUAAAGGCUUUAGUUUGCUUCAUAGAUCCCCAAAAGGUGCACAUUAAUGAUGAAAUGCAGAAAAGAAUAACUAGUUAGGCUUCCUCUCCAUAUUAGUGUGUUAUUUGUUGUAUGCAUAGCAAGCCUUGUUCUCACAUGCUCAGAUUAUGAUAUGGCUUGUGCAAUUUGGAAUCAUCUUUAGCAAGUUUGUGCCUUUGUGGAGCAUUGAGAAUGUCUAUAUCUUUGGAGACUUCGAUAGUUCUGUUGGUUUAAAAUAGGGAAGAUUUGGCGAUAGGAAAGAUGCCUAAGUUGUGCUUUUUGGAUGGGAAGGAGUAUGCACAUUUUCAAAAAUCAAAGUGUAUGAGCUUAUGCUUGAGGAGCUUUUCAAGAGGGCAUCAUUAAGUGUUAUUCAACUUGAUUUAAGGGCAUCAAUUUUUUAGCCUAGUCUUUAGUGUUUUUGUAUGUGUCUUUGCAUGCUUCUACAGGAGAAUACCUUAUCCUCCACAUUAUAAUCUUCUUCCUUUCUUUCUCAAUAAAUUCUUUUUCCCAUCAAAAGAGAUAAAGAAAACGAAAUCACUCAAAGCUCAAAUUUUUGUCCCUAGCUUCUCUUUCAUUCUUUUUCUCCCCCUCACCCCCGGGGGGUAAGAACUGGAUGAAAAAAGGAAAAAAUAA